RNAcentral lists this ribosomal RNA (327 nucleotides) under uncultured Elusimicrobia bacterium. RNAcentral's name for it is "bacterial SSU rRNA". It matches the Rfam family "Bacterial small subunit ribosomal RNA", at positions 29 to 351 of the family's 1533-position model. The record is from RNAcentral. Lineage: Bacteria; Pseudomonadati; Elusimicrobiota; Elusimicrobia.
AGUUAACGCUGGCGGCGUGCCUAACACAUGCAAGUCGAGCGAGGUUUUUACAGUUUAUCGUAAGACCUAGCGGCAGACGGGUGAGUAACACGUGGGAAACCUGCACUAAAGCGGGGGAUACCCCCGGGAAACCGGGGCUAAUACCGCAUAAGACCACAACCUGGCAUCAGGAAGGGGUCAAACCCGCAAGGGGCUUUGGGAUGGUCCCGCGUCCUAUCAGCUAGUUGGUGAGGUAACGGCUCACCAAGGCUAUGACGGGUAGCCGGCCUGAAAGGGUGUACGGCCACACUGGAACUGAGACACGGUCCAGACUCCUACGGGUGGCAG